RNAcentral lists this small RNA (431 nucleotides) under Arabidopsis thaliana (thale cress). RNAcentral describes it as "ATSL050300". The stretch from base 135 to 254 matches the Rfam family "mir-5014 microRNA precursor family". Lineage: Eukaryota; Viridiplantae; Streptophyta; Magnoliopsida; Brassicales; Brassicaceae. The record is from RNAcentral.
UAAUUAUGAGAUUCCAAAUCCGAAUCGAAACUAGUUAAAAAAUGGCUUAAGUUGCUAUUUAGUCACUUUUUAAAACUUAAUUGGAAAGUAGUCACUUUACUAUUCAUAAUUUGCAAAAUAGUCACUUUUCACUGUUUGAUUCGUACACUUGGAUUGUACAUCACUUUUAGUGUACAAAUAUAUAUAAAAAUACACAGCGUACAUUUUACAUUUGUACACUAAAAGUGAUGUACAAUCCAAGUGUACGAAUCAAACAGUGAAAAGUGACUAUUUUGCAAAUUAUGAAUAGUAAAGUGACUACUUUCCUAAUUAAGUUUGAAAAAAUGACUAUUUUGCAAACACACCCUUAAAAAAUUUAUGGUGGAAUGGAUAAUCUUUAUACUUAAAGCUUAUUCGAUGACCAACUAUGAUUGUAGUUAUAGUAAUACUAU